GCGAUGCGGAAAAUAAAUAAAGUAAAAGCGAUGCGGGAAAUAAAUAAAAUAAAAGCGAUGCAGGAAAUAAAUAAAAUAAAAGCGAUGCGGGAAAUAAAUAAAUAAAGCGAUAAAUAAGAACCUGCUCCAAACGGAGGCUUCGAUUCUGGUACAAAAAUAAACCUCCAACUCCUGAAGCUAAAGACGACAGCAACUCGAAGUGACCCAACUCAAUCUCACAAAGGUGCGAUA
Molecule: long non-coding RNA, 231 nt
Filed under: Lathyrus oleraceus (garden pea)
Lineage: Eukaryota; Viridiplantae; Streptophyta; Magnoliopsida; Fabales; Fabaceae
Description: Pisum sativum (pea) long non-coding RNA (PSAT_LNC001406)
Source: RNAcentral